GCCUGAUGACGUCACACGCCUACGCUUCCCGCCGGCCCCACUGCGCUUGCGCGGCCAAAGGAGCUGGCCGGAGGAAAUUGUAGGCCCUGGGCCGCGGGCAUCUCGGCGGGUAUAAUCUCUGGCCGUCGUGACGGCGGUGACGGACCUGUUUUUCACAUACCAGCGGUUGUUUCCAUAAAUGCCAGCCAUGGGAAAUCUCCCUGUGUACAGAAACCUAAAGGCCGGCUCAGCUGCCUCCACUUGUCUCUUUUGUCACUUGUGGCCACGAGGCCGUGGUAAAACUUGAGAAAAGCAAAAGAAUGAGGGAAAUGCGCUGUAUUGGGGUCUCUGCAGGGGCACGGUAAGGGUAAGGGUCCAUUUUUAACUGGAUGGUGGAUUCCUGAGAUACUGUUUUGUUCCUAGUUGACAUGUAUGUUACAUAUAUUUUUUGGAAAAG
Long non-coding RNA from Homo sapiens (human), 436 nucleotides. Ensembl annotates it as ACAD9 divergent transcript. Its record names the gene ACAD9-DT. NCBI's taxonomy places the organism in Eukaryota, Metazoa, Chordata, Mammalia, Primates, Hominidae. The record is from Ensembl.